AACGAACGCUGGCGGCAUGCCUAACACAUGCAAGUCGAACGAGACCUUCGGGUCUAGUGGCGCACGGGUGCGUAACGCGUGGGAACCUGCCUUUAGGUUCGGAAUAACUCAGAGAAAUUUGAGCUAAUACCGGAUGAUGUCUUCGGACCAAAGAUUUAUCGCCUUUAGAUGGGCCCGCGUUGGAUUAGCUAGUUGGUGGGGUAAAGGCCUACCAAGGCGACGAUCCAUAGCUGGUCUGAGAGGAUGAUCAGCCACACUGGGACUGAGACACGGCCCAGACUCCUACGGGAGGCAGCAGUGGGGAACAUUGGACAAUGGGCGAAAGCCUGAUCCAGCAAUGCCGCGUGAGUGAUGAAGGCCUUAGGGUUGUAAAGCUCUUUUACCCGAGAUGAUAAUGACAGUAUCGGGAGAAUAAGCUCCGGCUAACUCCGUG
This 433-nucleotide ribosomal RNA is filed under the name uncultured bacterium. Its description in RNAcentral is "partial 16S ribosomal RNA". It matches the Rfam family "Bacterial small subunit ribosomal RNA", at positions 29 to 507 of the family's 1533-position model. The record is from RNAcentral.